This 404-nucleotide ribosomal RNA is filed under the name Actinomycetes bacterium. Its description in RNAcentral is "Actinobacteria bacterium partial 16S ribosomal RNA". It matches the Rfam family "Bacterial small subunit ribosomal RNA", at positions 355 to 776 of the family's 1533-position model. Lineage: Bacteria; Bacillati; Actinomycetota; Actinomycetes. The record is from RNAcentral.
UGGGGAAUAUUGGACAAUGGGCGCAAGCCUGAUCCAGCCAUGCCGCGGGAGUGAUGAAGGCCCGAGGGUUGUAAAGCUCUUUCACCGGUGAAGAUAAUGACGGUAACCGGAGAAGAAGCCCCGGCUAACUUCGUGCCGGCAGCCGCGGUAAUACGAAGGGGGCUAGCGUUGUUCGGAAUUACUGGGCGUAAAGCGCACGUAGGCGGACUUUUAAGUCAGGGGUGAAAUCCCGGGGCUCAACCCCGGAACUGCCUUUGAUACUGGAUGUCUUGAGUAUGGUAGAGGUGAGUGGAAUUCCGAGUGUAGAGGUGACAUUCGUAGAUAUUCGGAGGAACACCAGUGGCGAAGGCGGCUCACUGGUCCAUUACUGACGCUGAGGUGCGAAAGCGUGGGGAGCAAACAGG